RNAcentral lists this non-coding RNA (46 nucleotides) under Trichobilharzia regenti. The record is from RNAcentral. Lineage: Eukaryota; Metazoa; Platyhelminthes; Trematoda; Strigeidida; Schistosomatidae.
GUACUGAUGAAGAGUCCCAGACUAGGACGAAACGGCUGUCCAGUAC